RNAcentral lists this ribosomal RNA (616 nucleotides) under uncultured bacterium. Its description in RNAcentral is "bacterial SSU rRNA". The stretch from base 1 to 518 matches the Rfam family "Bacterial small subunit ribosomal RNA", at positions 338 to 873 of the family's 1533-position model. The record is from RNAcentral.
CCUACGGGAGGCAGCAGUGGGGAAUCUUGCGCAAUGGGCGAAAGCCUGACGCAGCCAUGCCGCGUGAAUGAUGAAGGUCUUAGGAUUGUAAAAUUCUUUCACCGGGGACGAUAAUGACGGUACCCGGAGAAGAAGCCCCGGCUAACUUCGUGCCAGCAGCCGCGGUAAUACGAAGGGGGCUAGCGUUGCUCGGAAUUACUGGGCGUAAAGGGAGCGUAGGCGGAUAGUUUAGUCAGAGGUGAAAGCCCAGGGCUCAACCUUGGAAUUGCCUUUGAUACUGGCUAUCUUGAGUAUGGGAGAGGUAUGCGGAACUCCGAGUGUAGAGGUGAAAUUCGUAGAUAUUCGGAAGAACACCAGUGGCGAAGGCGGCAUACUGGCCCAUUACUGACGCUGAGGCUCGAAAGCGUGGGGAGCAAACAGGAUUAGAUACCCUGGUAGUCCACGCUGUAAACGAUGAGUGCUAGUUGUCGGCAUGCAUGCAUGUCGGUGACGCAGCUAACGCAUUAAGACACUCCGCCGUCGGGGUAGGUACGGUCGGCGAAGAAGUUAAAACGUUAAAACGGUAAAGUUAGUACGGCGUGAGACGUGCCGACGGACGACGACGAGGGAGGUUAGG